This 76-nucleotide transfer RNA is filed under the name Bacteroidota bacterium. RNAcentral's name for it is "tRNA-Thr". It matches the Rfam family "tRNA". Rfam says of the family: Transfer RNA (tRNA) molecules are approximately 80 nucleotides in length. Their secondary structure includes four short double-helical elements and three loops (D, anti-codon, and T loops). Further hydrogen bonds mediate the characteristic L-shaped molecular structure. tRNAs have two regions of fundamental functional importance: the anti-codon, which is responsible for specific mRNA codon recognition, and the 3' end, to which the tRNAs corresponding amino acid is attached (by aminoacyl-tRNA synthetases). tRNAs cope with the degeneracy of the genetic code in two manners: having more than one tRNA (with a specific anti-codon) for a particular amino acid; and 'wobble' base-pairing, i.e. permitting non-standard base-pairing at the 3rd anti-codon position. Lineage: Bacteria; Pseudomonadati; Bacteroidota. The record is from RNAcentral. RNAcentral also lists the same sequence under 3 other names.
GCCACCUUAGCUCAGUUGGUAGAGCAACUGAUUUGUAAUCAGUAGGUCGUCAGUUCGACUCUGACAGGUGGCUCCA